Molecule: long non-coding RNA, 581 nt
Organism: Oreochromis niloticus (Nile tilapia)
Lineage: Eukaryota; Metazoa; Chordata; Actinopteri; Cichliformes; Cichlidae
Exons: 3
Source: RefSeq, a predicted model, not a curated record
UCUUCCUCCUCCUGCACUACCUGCUCUGCGCUGCUGCUGAUUAGACCUGGUGCGCGCUGCUCCGCCAGGUGAGCUGAAUUAGAGCAAUCAAGGGCUGGCAUGCCUAGUAGACCUUAAAAUGCAUGUAGCAGUCAUUUGACCUGAGUGCGACAUACUGAGAGGACAGCAAACAAAGCAAUCCACUUUCCACUGUGAGGAAGACUUUGAGCUAGACGGGCUAUCGGUCGUAUCAAGAACAAGGCUGGAGUGGACGAUAGCACGGCAUCGGCUGUGCUGUCCCUUAACAUCAUUUCUGCCAAGAACAUCAAGUCAUCCCACAACAACAGGGCACCGACGCAAGGGGAGCUGUGGUGGCAUUGCAUGACGGGUGCAGAACGCAAGCUGGGCUGGGAUGUGAUGGGCCCAGUGGAAGGACAAGAGGAUGGGAGGCUCUUCCUUGUCUGCCGAAGACGAGGCUGGCGUGGACUCCGCUCUAAAGAAGGAAUUCCUGGCCUGCUGGUGGACCCAUAAUGAAUAUGUGGCAUAAUUAUAUCAGGGGGUUUUAGGGAAUGUAGAAAAUGGUAGUUUUACGGGUUUUAGAA